This 460-nucleotide ribosomal RNA is filed under the name Entoloma albidoquadratum. Its description in RNAcentral is "partial small subunit ribosomal RNA". It matches the Rfam family "Bacterial small subunit ribosomal RNA", at positions 427 to 858 of the family's 1533-position model. The record is from RNAcentral. Lineage: Eukaryota; Fungi; Basidiomycota; Agaricomycetes; Agaricales; Entolomataceae.
AAUGUAAUAACGUAAGGGAAAAAAAUGAUAUUACCUUACUAUUAGUGUUGUCCAAAAUUGGUGCCAGAAGACUCGGUAAGGCCAAAAACGCAAACGUUAGUCGUCCUAAUCAGGCGUAAAGGGUAUGUAGGCUGCUUUAAAAUUUUUAUAUUUMURGCUAAUGUAAAUUUUUUUUAAUUUCGAAUUUUAUAGAAAUUARAAUAUUARAAUUUUUCAGAAGUAUAAGAUGAAUUAAAGCUAGAAUCAAAUGGAGGAUAAGUCAAAUARUACCUAGUGUAGGGUUUAAAUCUGUUGAUAUUAGGUAGAGUACUAAUGGUGAAAGCUUUUUAUCCAGAAWUGAUUGACGCUGAGAAACGAAGGUGAGAAUAGGAAAUAGGAUUAGAUACCCAGAUACCUCUCACAGUCAACGMUGAAUGGUAGUUGUUADUUAGUUUUAUUUAACUGAUAACGAGGUUAACAC